CCUACGGGAGGCAGCAGUGGGGAAUAUUGGACAAUGGGGGGAACCCUGAUCCAGCGACGCCGCGUGAGUGAAGAAGUAUUUCGGUAUGUAAAGCUCUAUCAGCAGGGAAGAAAGAAAUGACGGUACCUGACUACGAAGCCCCGGCUAACUACGUGCCAGCAGCCGCGGUAAUACGUAGGGGGCAAGCGUUAUCCGGAUUUACUGGGUGUAAAGGGAGCGUAGACGGCGAUGCAAGUCUGAAGUGAAAGGCGGGGGCCCAACCCCCGGACUGCGUUGGAAACUGUAUGGCUGGAGUGCAGGAGAGGUAAGUGGAAUUCCUAGUGUAGCGGUGAAAUGCGUAGAUAUUAGGAGGAACACCAGUGGCGAAGGCGGCUUACUGGACUGUAACUGACGUUGAGGCUCGAAAGCGUGGGGAGCAAACAGGAUUAGAUACCCCAGUAGUC
Molecule: ribosomal RNA, 443 nt
Filed under: uncultured bacterium
Lineage: Bacteria
Description: partial 16S ribosomal RNA
Rfam family: Bacterial small subunit ribosomal RNA
Source: RNAcentral